AAAGGGGCAAAGAAAAUACAACAGUACCGUCCCAUUUGUCUGCUAAGAUGUCCCUAUAAACUUAUCACCAAAGUCCUGGAUAACCGAGUGGCGAUCUUUGUUGAUAAGUUGAUUAGUAAACACCAGAAUGCUUUCAUUAAGCACAGGAAUAUCAUGGAUGGUAUUCUUACGUUGCAUGAAGUUUUGCACCAUACACACCAGAAAAAAAGAGUUGGCGUGGUACUGAAGUUAGACUUUGAAAAAGCUUAUGACAAAAUCGAUUGGGAAUUCCUUCUAGAGUGUCAUCGAGAUCGAGGCUUUGGUACAACUUGGUGUGGCUGGAUCAAAAAAAUUAUAUAUAAUGGCACUGUCAGUGUCAAACUGAACAAUGAAAAAGGCCCCUACUUUCAAAGCCACAAGGGGGUACGCCAAGGCGACCCCCACUCUCCUUUUCUCUUUAACCUGGCC
RNAcentral lists this ribosomal RNA (447 nucleotides) under Triticum aestivum (bread wheat). RNAcentral's name for it is "partial small subunit ribosomal RNA". The record is from RNAcentral. Lineage: Eukaryota; Viridiplantae; Streptophyta; Magnoliopsida; Poales; Poaceae.